UACGUAGGGGGCUAGCGUUGUCCGGAAUUAUUGGGCGUAAAGGGAGCGCAGGCGGUUGGAAUAGUCUGAUGUGAAAGCCCACGGCUUAACCGUGGAAGGGCAUUGGAAACUGUCCAACUUGAAUGCAGAAGAGGUAAGUGGAAUUCCAUGUGUAGCGGUGAAAUGCGUAGAUAUAUGGAGGAACACCAGUGGCGAAGGCGACUUACUGGUCUGUGAUUGACGCUGAGGUACGAAAGCGUGGGGAGCAAACAGG
This 253-nucleotide ribosomal RNA is filed under the name uncultured bacterium. Its description in RNAcentral is "partial 16S ribosomal RNA". It matches the Rfam family "Bacterial small subunit ribosomal RNA", at positions 524 to 776 of the family's 1533-position model. The record is from RNAcentral.